This 70-nucleotide transfer RNA is filed under the name Sinacroneuria dabieshana. RNAcentral describes it as "tRNA-Lys". Lineage: Eukaryota; Metazoa; Arthropoda; Insecta; Plecoptera; Perlidae. The record is from RNAcentral.
CAUCAGAUGACUGAAAGCAAGUAGUGGUCUCUUAAACCAUUUGAUAGUAACCCGCGAUUACUUCUGAUGA